AGAGUUUGAUCAUGGCUCAGAACAAACGCUGGCGGCGUGCCUAAUACAUGCAAGUCGAACGGGGAAAGCCUUCGGGGUGAGUACUAGUGGCGCACGGGUGAGUAACACGUGGGUAAUCUUCCUCGAAGCGUGGGAUAACUAGUCGAAAGAUUAGCUAAUACCACAUAAGACCACAGGAUCUGCGGAUCCAGAGGUCAAAGUUUUUCGCUUUGAGAUGAGCCCGCGCAAGAUUAGCUAGUUGGUGAGGUAAUGGCUCACCAAGGCAACGAUCUUUAGCUGGUCUGAGAGGAUGAUCAGCCACACUGGAACUGGGACACGGUCCAGACUCCUACGGGAGGCAGCAGUAGGGAAUAUUGCACAAUGGAGGAAACUCUGAUGCAGCGACGCCGCGUGAGUGAUGAAGGACUUCGGUUCGUAAAGCUCUGUCGUAUGGGAAUAAGAAAGUGAAUGUACCAUGCAAGAAAGGAUCGGCUAACUUCGUG
This 482-nucleotide ribosomal RNA is filed under the name uncultured bacterium. RNAcentral's name for it is "bacterial SSU rRNA". It matches the Rfam family "Bacterial small subunit ribosomal RNA", at positions 8 to 507 of the family's 1533-position model. The record is from RNAcentral.